GCUGGCGGCGUGCCUAAUACAUGCAAGUCGAACGAGAACGGGUCUAGCUUGCUAGAUUGUCAGCUAAGUGGCGCACGGGUGAGUAAUGCAUAGGUGUACGUGCCCCAUAGCCUGGGAUAACAACUGGAAACGGUUGCUAAUACCGGAUAUUCCCUUCGGGGGAAAGAUUUAUCACUAUGGGAUCGGCCUAUGUCGUAUCAGCUAGUUGGUGGGGUAAUGGCUCACCAAGGCGAUGACGCGUAACUGGUUUGAGAGGAUGAUCAGUCACACUGGAACUGAGACACGGUCCAGACUCCUACGGGAGGCAGCAGUAGGGAAUAUUGCACAAUGGAGGAAACUCUGAUGCAGCAACGCCGCGUGGAGGAUGACGCAUUUCGGUGUGUAAACUCCUUUUAUAUAGGAAGAUAAUGACGGUACUAUAUGAAUAAGCACCGGCUAACUCCGUGCCAGCAGCCGCGGUAAUACGGGGGGUGCAAGCGUUACUCGGAAUCACUGGGCGUAAAGGGAGCGCAGGCGGCCUAAUAAGUGUCUUGUGAAAGCCUAUGGCUUAACCAUA
RNAcentral lists this ribosomal RNA (556 nucleotides) under uncultured Campylobacterota bacterium. RNAcentral's name for it is "bacterial SSU rRNA". It matches the Rfam family "Bacterial small subunit ribosomal RNA", at positions 35 to 617 of the family's 1533-position model. The record is from RNAcentral. Lineage: Bacteria; Pseudomonadati; Campylobacterota.